Molecule: ribosomal RNA, 478 nt
Filed under: uncultured bacterium
Lineage: Bacteria
Description: partial 16S ribosomal RNA
Rfam family: Bacterial small subunit ribosomal RNA
Source: RNAcentral
GACGAACGCUGGCGGCGUGCUUAACACAUGCAAGUCGAACGGUAAGGCCCUUCGGGGUACACGAGUGGCGAACGGGUGAGUAACACGUGGGUGAUCUGCCCUGCACUUCGGGAUAAGCCUGGGAAACUGGGUCUAAUACCGGAUAGGACCACUGCCUGCAUGGGUGGUGGUGGAAAGCUUUUGCGGUGUGGGAUGGGCCCGCGGCCUAUCAGCUUGUUGGUGGGGUGAUGGCCUACCAAGGCGACGACGGGUAGCCGGCCUGGGAGGGUGAACGGCCACACUGGGACUGAGGUACGGCCCAGACUCCUACGGGAGGCAGCAGUGGGGAAUAUUGCACAAUGGGCGCAAGCCUGAUGCAGCGACGCCGCGUGAGGGAUGACGGCCUUCGGGUUGUAAACCUCUUUCAGCACCGACGAAGCGCAAGUGACGGUAGGUGCAGAAGAAGGACCGGCCAACUACGUGCCAGCCGCCGCAGUAA